GAUUCCCUUGGUAACGGCGAGUGAAGAGGGAAGAGCCCAGCACCGAAGCNUGCGGCAGUUUUGCUGUUAGGCAAUGUGGUGUGCGGGUCGGCUAGCGGGAUCGUCACUCCACUCGAAGUCCAGCAUUGAGUAUGGUUAUCACUGGAUUUGGCCCAUAGAGGGUGAGAGGCCCGUACGAGUGGAGGUUCAGAUGUGUGCGACGAUUCACCAGGUCGACCUCAGAGUCGGGUUGUUUGAGAUUGCAGCCCAAAGUGGGUGGUAAACUCCAUCCAAGGCUAAAUACUGGCACGAGUCCGAUAGCGAACAAGUACCGUGAGGGAAAGUUGAAAAGUACUCUGAAGAGAGAGUAAACAGUACGUGAAGCCGCAUGCAGGUAAACGGGUGGCGUCAAGCUGCGAGCCCGGAGGAUUCAGCUGAUUAGGAUGUAGUGUACGUGCGCCUGGUGCGUCGAGAGACCGGAAUAAGAUGUUUUUUUCUUGGCGGUCCACUCCUCUAUUAGGAGUGGGGUGCUAUUGGUAUGCAUGUGCUUGCAUGUGUGUGCCGAUAGUGGCUAUACAUGCCGGGUGGUUGCCGGAGUAUGCCGCUCAUCUGUUGGGUCACCUAAUCAGUGCAUUUUCUCCGUGGUGAACACCACGACCGGUGGAACUGCCAGUCUGCUGUUAUCAAGUCGUGUCCUUCUGACCCCUCCAUUAUUUUUUCUCUCUCUCUCUCUCUCUCUCUCUCUCCCUCUGUCUUAUAAAUAUUGCUAUCUAUCUCUCCUAUCUCUCCUUUGUGGGAGAUGUUAGUGGAUGGUGAUGGUUAUGAUAGGGGGGUUGGGGGCGGGGGAGUGCUGAGAGGAGUGGAUGUGUGUGUUGGGUGGAUACGAUCGCAGAUGGAGUUAGUAGACGGCGUAGUGGUGCAUUAGUACUGCCGCGUGUUAUCGUUUACUCUCCAUCGUAAGCGAUUAGUGGGGUUGACUAAGUACUGUGACUGCCUCUCCAUUAAUCGGCGGAUAGCAGCGGUAAAAAUGACUGUGCAGGGCACUGGAGUUAUCCACCUCAAUCAUUCCUUAAUUCAUUCAUUCAUUUUACUGUGCAUGGAUUCAUGUAUGUGUGAAUGUGAAUGAGUUGAGUGAGUGAAUAUGGCAUCCUACACGCACGUUACAGGUGCUAUAUAAUCGGGGCAUGCCGCUGUCUGUCUUGUGUUGGGCCUGACUGUCGUGUCGCCUACGAAAAGUGGGUCCGACAGUGGUUGUUAUAUACUUGGCAUUGGCAGUAUGUAGCGUGUCUCGGGUGUAUGUGAUGCUGCCACUAUUAUAAUGGGGUGAAAUAGUCAGUGGUGCUGUGGUAGAUUAGCUACCCGACCCGUCUUGAAACACGGACCAAGGAGUUUAACAUGUGUGCAAGUCAAAGGGUCCUACGAAACCCCAAGGCGCAAUGAAAGUGAAGUUCAUGCUGUACUUUUGUACGUGCGCAGUACAGUUAUGGCGAGGUGAGAUCUCCUUGUGCUCAUGACACACGCCGCAGCAUACCUUACUGGGCAAUAAUUGGGGCAAGGAGCGCAUCACCGGCCCGUCGCAUGUUGUGGUCAUAGGUGUACUUGUAUGUGGAGAGGUGUGUGGUGUACUUGUAUGUGUGCUUGUCGCGCAUAUGUGUGCAUACCACUUGGAAGCGUACAAUGCCUGUGCGUCAGCGC
This 1674-nucleotide ribosomal RNA is filed under the name Progamotaenia bancrofti. Its description in RNAcentral is "partial 28S ribosomal RNA". It matches the Rfam family "Eukaryotic large subunit ribosomal RNA", at positions 73 to 803 of the family's 3401-position model. Lineage: Eukaryota; Metazoa; Platyhelminthes; Cestoda; Cyclophyllidea; Anoplocephalidae. The record is from RNAcentral.